UACGAAGGGUGCUAGCGUUGUUCGGAAUCACUGGGCGUAAAGCGUGCGUAGGCGGUUUUUUAAGUCUGAUGUGAAAGCCCGGGGCUCAACCCCGGAUGUGCAUUGGAUACUGGAAGGCUAGAGAUUGGGAGAGGAAAGUGGAAUUCCGAGUGUAGAGGUGAAAUUCGUAGAUAUUCGGAGGAACACCAGUGGCGAAGGCGACUUUCUGGACCAAUACUGACGCUGAGGCACGAAAGCGUGGGGAUCAAACAGG
This 253-nucleotide ribosomal RNA is filed under the name uncultured bacterium. RNAcentral describes it as "partial 16S ribosomal RNA". It matches the Rfam family "Bacterial small subunit ribosomal RNA", at positions 524 to 776 of the family's 1533-position model. The record is from RNAcentral.